AUGACUUAUGAGGCUACCAGAGGCUACUACACCUCCAGAUUAAUGACAGCCUGCAACUUACUUGCUUCCAACACACUAGUAACACAUUCUAAGGUUCGUAAUCGGCUACUUAAUAGCGCGGUUGCUAUUAUGUGGGUAAAGGUCCUCAUUUUGUUGAUGGUGGCAUCUUACAAAGAAAAGUGCGCCGCCCCGCCCGCAAUGUCGUUGUUGCUUGCUAGCUGCUGGUGGUUCGUGUGCCCUGGUCGCUGCUGCUAUAGGGAAGUUCGAGAUGGGAACACUUGUUUCAAAUGCUCUCCUCCCAUUCGCGAUGCUGCCAACAAGGAAAACCUCUGGGAAGCUCUGCUGUACAAACACAUCAGCAUAGUGAGUAAGGAUGUGGCACCUUGGGGAAUAAUGCCUACAAAGCAAGCCCAGGAUGACGACGCUGAUCACUAG
RNAcentral lists this ribosomal RNA (435 nucleotides) under Triticum aestivum (bread wheat). RNAcentral's name for it is "partial small subunit ribosomal RNA". Lineage: Eukaryota; Viridiplantae; Streptophyta; Magnoliopsida; Poales; Poaceae. The record is from RNAcentral.